Molecule: ribosomal RNA, 253 nt
Filed under: uncultured bacterium
Lineage: Bacteria
Description: partial 16S ribosomal RNA
Rfam family: Bacterial small subunit ribosomal RNA
Source: RNAcentral
UACGGAGGGGGCGAGUGUUGUUCGGAAUUACUGGGCGUAAAGGGCGCGCAGGCGGCUUGGCAAGUCGAGUGUGAAAGCCCUUGGCUUAACUAAGGAAUAGCGCUCGAAACUACCUCGCUGGAGGGCGGGAGAGGGAAGUGGAACUCUCGGUGUAGGGGUGAAAUCUGUAGAUAUCGAGAGGAACACCGGUGGCGAAGGCGGCUUCCUGGCCCGUACCUGACGCUGAGGAGCGAAAGCGUGGGUAGCGAACAGC